UACGGGGGGGGGCAAGCGUUGUUCGGAAUUACUGGGCGUAAAGGGCUCGUAGGUGGCCAACUAAGUCAGACGUGAAAUCCCUCGGCUUAACCGGGGAACUGCGCCUGAUACUGGAUGGCUGGAGUAUGGGAGAGGAAUGCGGAAUUCCAGGUGUAGCGGUGAAAUGCGUAGAUAUCUGGAGGAACACCGGUGGCGAAGGCGGCAUUCUGGUCUGUAACUGACGCUGAGGCGCGAAAGCGUGGGGAGCAAACAGG
This 254-nucleotide ribosomal RNA is filed under the name uncultured bacterium. RNAcentral's name for it is "partial 16S ribosomal RNA". It matches the Rfam family "Bacterial small subunit ribosomal RNA", at positions 524 to 776 of the family's 1533-position model. The record is from RNAcentral.